AAACAAAAUUUCCAAUUACAGAUUUUUAAAUGAUAUUUUUAUCAUCAUUUAAAUUAAAAAUAUUUGGUUAAUUUAUAAACAUAAUAAAUGCGCAUGAAGAAAAAGAAAAAAAAAAUCAAAAUAAUUGAAUUAUGGGUUAUGACCAAGGAAUAAAUAAUACUAAAAACAUAAAAAGAGAUCUAAAAGAAGGUUCAAACUUGAACUAGGUGGGUCAAGUCAUAGAGAUCUCAACCAAAUGAGCCAAUUGACUUGAAAGCUUGCAAACAAUUUAAUUUAUAUAUUUUAAUUGAUGUCAGUUGACCUUUUUCUUUCAACGUGGGUUUACUUGUGGUUGCAUCGUUUCUUGAAUGUGACAGAAAAGGAUCGGUAAACCGUUUUAAAGGACAAGGACAUAUCUCGUCAAAAAGCUUAGAGAGUACCUCACGAUCUCUCUCACUUAUACUUUCCACAUUUUGAGAGAUUCACAUUUUCUUAGUUAUCCUCGAUAACAACUUACUGCAAUAUAGGAGACCAAUCAAAUCAGCGCAAACAAAAUAGUAUAAGAUUAUGUUUGUGUAUGAUUUGUACAAGACAUCAAGUAAACUUAUAGAUUGUAUAGAUCAAGCUGAUGAUAAUUUUUGGCAGAUCUGUGCCUAGGGUUACGGAUGCCAAAGACGAUGUUUUUCAAAAAAAA
This 673-nucleotide small RNA is filed under the name Arabidopsis thaliana (thale cress). RNAcentral describes it as "ATSL306010". Lineage: Eukaryota; Viridiplantae; Streptophyta; Magnoliopsida; Brassicales; Brassicaceae. The record is from RNAcentral.